RNAcentral lists this ribosomal RNA (467 nucleotides) under uncultured bacterium. RNAcentral's name for it is "bacterial SSU rRNA". It matches the Rfam family "Bacterial small subunit ribosomal RNA", at positions 33 to 507 of the family's 1533-position model. The record is from RNAcentral.
AGGACGACGCUGGCGGCGUGCUUAACACAUGCAAGUCGAACGGAAAGGCCCAGCUUGCUGGGUACUCGAGUGGCGAACGGGUGAGUAACACGUGGGUGAUCUGCCCCAAACUUCGGGAUAAGCCUGGGAAACUGGGUCUAAUACCGGAUAUGACCUGCUCCUGCAUGGGGGUUGGUGGAAAGCUUUUGCGGUUUGGGAUGGGCCCGCGGCCUAUCAGCUUGUUGGUGGGGUAAUGGCCUACCAAGGCGACGACGGGUAGCCGACCUGAGAGGGUGAUCGGCCACACUGGGACUGAGACACGGCCCAGACUCCUACGGGAGGCAGCAGUGGGGAAUAUUGCACAAUGGGCGCAAGCCUGAUGCAGCGACGCCGCGUGAGGGAUGACGGCCUUCGGGUUGUAAACCUCUUUCGCCAGGGACGAAGCGCAAGUGACGGUACCUGGAGAAGAAGCACCGGCCAACUACGUG